GGGGGAAAUGGGGAAGUAUUAGUUAAAGGAUGCAAAGUUUCAGUGAUACAAUAUAAAUAAAUGCUAGAGACCAACUUACAGCAUAAUACCUAUAAUUAAUGCUACUAUAUUGCAUUCUUAAAAAGUUGCUUAGAAAGUAGAUCUUAUGUUAAAUGUUCUUAUCACACACACAAAAUAAACAAGAGGGCGGGAUGAAACUUUUGGAGGUGAUGAAUAGGUUUAUGGCAUAGACUGUAUACUUAUCUCCAAACUCAUCAAGUGGCACACAUUAAUUAUGUACGGCUUUUUGUAUGUAAAUAAAUACAUAAAUAAAUGGCACCGUCAGAUAGGUUUUUGGUGAAGCCUCUCUUCCUAGCUUGUAGGUGGCCACCUUCUCCCUGAGUCCUCACACGGCCUCUUCUCUGUGUGCACAUGAAGAGAGAUCUCUGAUCUCUCCUCCUCUUCUAAUAAGGACACUAGUCCUAUUGGAUUAGUUCCUCACCUUUAUGACUUCAUGCAACUUUAAUUACCUUCCGAAAGACCCUAUCUCCAAAUACAGUCACAAUGGGGAUUAGGGCUUCAAUGUAAUGAAUUUUGGGGAGAAACAAUUCAGUCCAUAACAAAGGGUGAGAAGAAAAGUACUUUCAUUUUAGUUGCUUGAACUAUAAUGGAUUUGUGCGAUCCUACAGAGGAACAAUCUGAGAUUUUGACGUACAUUAUUUGGCCAAGGUAUUGCUUGACUUGUAGUAUAUUUCAGUGCAUGUUAUGGCACAAAUUAUGCAUUUUAAUGGGAUAUUUUAUUGAGCUCCUCUUGUUGAUUUGCACAAUGGGCACAAACAGGCUGAUAAUUUAAAUAGGGAUUAGUCUUUUUUUUAACAUAAUGGGUUGGCUAUGUAACAUGAAAUGUGAAUCAUAUGUAGCUCUUCUUUUCAGGAGUUUUCCAAAUUCCCAUAAGUUUUAUGCUUAUGCUAGCAUUGUACCAUGACAUUCACAAAUUUACCAUGAGAUAAGUUUAAUUCCAUGAUGUCCAAGUAGAAAGCAUUAAAAAAAGAUGAAAAAUAAAUUGUGAAAAAAUAUUUUUCUUUUUCUUCCUUCUCAUCAUGUCUUUCUUUUUCUCUGUCUACUCUCUCCUCACCUGUUUUCUUUAGGAGAGAAUCAUGAGUGAGAGAUGAUCCCCUUAAUUCAUUUUAUUGCCUAUUUCCAUAGCAUGACUAUUUGGGAGGUACUUAAGGGUGGUUUCUAGGCAGUGACAGAAAUGGAAAUUAUUUAUCCUAGGAACCCUGCGUGUAUUCUUGUUAAUUCAUUUGCACACUGUUAAAUAAAUAACAUAUAGGUGGGACCAGCAGAUUUGGAAAUUCCUCACCAUCCACACUCCAUUUUUAUACUCUAUUUUUAGGGUGAAAAUUGUUUUUGUUUACCUAAGUUACAAAGCUUCUUUUUUGUUAUGCAAAUAGAAAAUUAGUUGGGCAGAAUCAUGAAUGAAUUAAGUUAUUUCCUUGCUUUGUAUCUUUUCAGGAAUCUGAGGCCUACAUGGGUGACAAUUUUCAAUGGCUGAAUAAUUUAAUAAAAAGUGAAAAACAUUACAUAAAUAUGCCUAUGAUUAUAUGUGCACAGGAUAAAAUCCAAUAUUUAGGAUAAGCCAAAUUGAUAUAAAGUUAGAGAGGAGAUUGCCUAAACAUUGAGAGGCUGGUAGUGCAAUUGAUUGUAGAUUGGAGUUUUUGAAAACCUUCACACGGACUCUGAUAAGUGAUUACUCUACUGUAAAUAUGACAAUGUGGGACAAACACAAAAGCAUAAGGACAUGUUGAUUGUCAAAUCGAACUUAAGAACCCAUAUAAAUAUUAUGGAGUAUAAGGAAAUUGUUAUAUGCAGGUUCAAGUGGAAUAUAUAUAAAUUUGGUUUUGAGAGUGAUUUGGCUGGGAUGGGGUAGGGGUGUUGUUUACUAGGUUUGAAAUUUUUUAGGAACUUGAAGAAAGUAAAAGUUCAUGUCCUACGAGAGCUAAUCCUUUUAUCCAUCUGAAUAAAUGAGCAUUUUUUUAACUGGGCAAUACUGUAUAUUCCAGUUGCAGACUAAAUGAUUGCUUCAUUUGAAGCCUCCUGACUGCCAUGGAACCAUCUGCUAUGUGCUCCUGUGAAGGAAUAGAUGGCAUUAUUUCUUAUGGAGUGUUACAGUGGCGACCGAGGUGACACUGAAGGAAAAUUCUGUGACAGUAUGUUAAGUAAGAUAUUACUGACAGCCCUGCUGAGCGGCGAUGCCGAACUGCACGUCGUGGAUCUCUUCUCACCCCUAUAGCCCCCACCAAAUGGUUUCCAUUUGCGGCAUGUGGAACCAGAGUGGAAAGAUGAAUGGAAAAUUAUGUUCUUUUUCAAAUUCACUUGUUUGCAUACCAUUAGUAGGCCUGAGAUGAAGGCUCAAAUUUGGCAAAAAGGUGCAUUUAUCAACCCAGUAUCAUACUGCUGUACCUUUCCAUAUGGUAGGUAAGAAAAUCAAGAGGUGCUGAUAGGCUUGAGCUCUAGACCAGAAUUUGCCACAAGUCACUUUUCUAUGGAUUGGAUUUCUUUGUAGAAAAGGCUGGAGCUGGACUAUAACAAAGUUUCUAGAGCCCUUUCUAGCUCUAACUUUCUAUGAUUCCGAAAGCCCUGAGCUUUGUGCUUUAAUAGCCCAGAAGACAAAGUGAGUAGAAUGCAGAAUAGAAACUUCUCUGUGUGCUACACAUAUUGAUGCAGCCUAGUAGGGAAAAGAUCAGUGGGUCACAAGUCAGGAGAUCUGGCCAUGGUUCAGCCUUGAAGCAAGUCAUUGACUCAAUCCAUGUCAGCUUCCUCACCUCCUUCACAAGGUUGUAUCCAAGCUCUAAUGGAAUUAUGCUACUGAAAGAUGAUUAAUUGCUCCAACAAAUAUUGCACAACUGCCCUAUGCUAGACACUAUGCCAAGUGCUGGGGAUUCAAUGGUGGGUAAAGCGUAGUCUUUGUUUUGGAGGAGGACAUCUAGUAGGGAAGAUAGAUAAGUGAAUGGGUAACUAUAGAGAAGUGUACCAGGGGCUUUGAUGGGCACAGGUACAGGGUGUGAUAAAAGUAUAGGGUGAUAUAAAAAGACAGGGUGAUAUAAAAGCAUAGAGGAGGAGCAGCUCACCCAGCUGGGCGCAUGGAAGGCUCCAGGAAGAAGUGGAUUCUAAGCUAGGGCAAAUAUAGGUGGAAGGGGGAGGGACAAAUGACAUGACCAGCAGCUUCUUGAACCAAGAUUUAGAAAUUGUUAUGGUUUCGUUUUCCUUCACCACCAAUCUGUGAAGAAGGAGACCAUCAGCAUCUUGGGUCUUGAUGAACAAGGAGUGCUCUUAUUUAAAUAUUCUUAUAAUAGUUAUAUCAUACUUCAUUUCUAAAACAAAUGGGUUUAAAAGCCUGAGAAAUGAUAUUUAAGAGAAUACCACCAUUGACUGUCACACUCUAAAGGUGAGCUUGAAAAAUUCUCUCUAGACCUUUCUAUUCACAAAUGCUUCUGUGAGGCCGCAAGAGUUUUAUGGUGUGCUUUGCAGAGAGGUACGGAUGGAUCACCUUUGGUAAAAGGAGAAAUGAUAGUGGCUUUAUACAUAAUAUGAACUUUUGGUUUUCUUUUUAUAAUCCUCUCUAAGACAAGGGCUACCAGCUUGCUGCUCAGUGAAUAAUAAAUCUGACUCAUCUGCUCUUCCUACAGGCUGACCCUCCUCUGCGCUAAUGUUUGACAUUUUUCAGUUUAAUUAAAAUCACCCUUUAAGUAGCACACCACCAAGAGAACGAUGGAAUUUCUUCCUGUAAUGUGAUGCUGAGUAAAGGACAACUCACCAAGUCCGCCAUUGUCUGUGCCACUUUCCACGGAG
Molecule: long non-coding RNA, 3831 nt
Filed under: Equus caballus (horse)
Lineage: Eukaryota; Metazoa; Chordata; Mammalia; Perissodactyla; Equidae
Description: lncRNA (ENSECAG00000049464.1)
Source: RNAcentral